GUGUCAGCCGCCGCGGUAAAACGUAGGAUCCGAGCGUUAUCCGAAUUCACUGGGCGUAAAGCGCGUGCAGGCGGUCCGGUAAGUUGGAUGUGAAAUCUCCUGGCUCAACUGGGAGAGGACGUUCAAUACUGUCGGACUCGAGGACGGUAGAGGGAGGUAGAAUUCCCGGUGUAGUGGUGAAAUGCGUAGAUAUCGGGAGGAAUACCAGUGGCGAAGGCGGCCUCCUGGACCGUUCCUGACGCUCAGACGCGAAAGCUAGGGGAGCAAACGGGAUUAGAAACCCCCGUAGUCC
Molecule: ribosomal RNA, 292 nt
Filed under: uncultured bacterium
Lineage: Bacteria
Description: partial 16S ribosomal RNA
Rfam family: Bacterial small subunit ribosomal RNA
Source: RNAcentral